This is a long non-coding RNA of Quercus robur (English oak), 532 nucleotides long. RefSeq lists it as uncharacterized. The transcript has 2 exons. Lineage: Eukaryota; Viridiplantae; Streptophyta; Magnoliopsida; Fagales; Fagaceae. The record is from RefSeq and is a predicted model, not a curated record.
GCAGGGCAAUUGAUGUUUGUCUGGAUUUUUGCUACCUAGAAUGUUACUUUUAUGUUACUUUUGUUGCUCUUAUUACUGCAAGGCUGAAUAGAGUCUUCCUUGAUUGCCUAUACAAACAUAGAUGAUUUUGAAAGAAUUGGAAACGACAUUUAUUUUUUGGCUUUGGAAUAUAUUUUUGACUGCAGGAAAAAUGUCAUAUCUCAAUUGGGAGAGGUUGAAGAAGAAUAGGGUCAAAGCCGAAGUUCGACAUGGAGAGAUUAUCUCUUUUGAGCUUGGAGGAGUACUUAAAUUUGAUUCUAGAUGAUGCUAGAAAAGUCAACAUCAAGAGGAAGAGAAAAAAACUUUACAUGGGUUCAUUUUCUCAUUUUCCUUUACUUUUAAUCUCUUAAAUGUGCAUACUCUGAAUGUGGUACAUCUAUUUUGUUAUGGGUCAAUUACAUAAAUAAAAAAAAAAAAAAAAAAUGUAAAGGGUAGAUUCUUCUUAAGAGAUGCAACACAACAACCACCUCAUUGUAUGUAAGAGAUUCUUCUA